Molecule: long non-coding RNA, 2527 nt
Organism: Lemur catta (Ring-tailed lemur)
Lineage: Eukaryota; Metazoa; Chordata; Mammalia; Primates; Lemuridae
Exons: 7
Source: RefSeq, a predicted model, not a curated record
GCCUCUUGAGUAGCUGGGAUUACAGAGAAGUAAAGAACCAAACAAGGUUCAGGAGAAGAGAAAGCAGCCCCGGGACAAAGUUACAAAAUACAGGAACCCACAUACCUGCUGUGAAGAUCGCUGCGGUUCGGAUGCCCUUGUCUUCGUUCCGCAGGUCCUGGAGGAAGGAACCAACUGUUGACGACACUGGUCUGACUACGAACUGACAGCGCUCUUUUCUGGACGGCAAAGUAAGCGUGAUCGAGGGAAGGCCAUGUCGAUAGUUAACUGUUAUUUCUGUCAGGACAAAUAAUACAGGAAAUGUGUGAAUUUUACCAUAAGGAACAAUUCUUGAAAUACAUGAAUUCUAAAUGGAAUGCUUAAACAUGAAAUUCACAAGCCUCUGAAGCCCUGUAAAAGUCUGCCAUGCUUGCACGGUGCCAUCGUUAUACGACGGUCUACACAGCCCCUGCCACCCUGUACCAUUUCAUCGUGGCAUGUACCACACUGUAUCGCAAUCAUCUGCAUAAAGUCUUCCCAGGCAGAGAGUUAAUUAAGUUCUUGAGGGCAGAAAUCAUCGCUUACUCAGCUCCUCUGAUUGCUGGGGUGGAAAUCUGACAAAAGACAAGCAGAGAUUCUGGGAGCAGAGAAGGGAGGAACUAAACCCAAGCAGGGGAUGGGGUGGGGCGGAGACAGUGCAAGAGAAGUCUGUCUUGUUCAAAAUUCACAGCUCUCGCUUAAUCUGGAAGACGACAAACACGGCCAGCACCCGAAUCGAGGAAGCCAUGAGAGCACUCACCAUCGCGGGGCACCGCUGUGCUGUAAAGCUGUGACUGGCAGUAGUUCACACUCCCACACCGCUGCACACACCAAACCUGCAGGGAACAAAGAUUAUACUGCUUUUAGAAAGAGUGGCGAGGUUGAAAUAGGUGUCUUUACCAGAAGAUUCUUCUUAGUCUUACAUGACAGGCACGACGGAAAAUUCCACUUCCCACGCGUCCCCGGGUAAAUAAUCUCCAACAAAGGACUGCGAGCAUCAAAGUAUCGUCCCCGGGCCAGAAGCAUCGGCGACCCCACGGAGCUGAUCAGAAAUGCACAAUCGCAGCCUCAGCCCAGACUUACUGUAUUCAUUACAAUCUGCAUUUUAACAAGGUCCCCAGCAAAAAGAAAUCAUGAAAGCCCGGAGCUCAGUGUGAGGUUCUACAGAAAAUCAUGAUGCACCACAGGAUAUAAAACUAAUGAACUCAAGGACAAGCUUCAAAGCAAAACAAUGAUCUAAGCAAGGAGUUUACAGAGCAACUGAACUCCAAAAGCACAUAUUGCUGGCUUCACAUAUUCCACGGAAGUACUCUACAGUGUUCAAUUCCAUUCUUACUGAGGGGAGCUUGCUUGUGUGCAAGAAAGAAACGAAUCGGGAGGUGAGACAGGCCUUACUCCCGCCCUGCUACUGGCGUUGGUGAUCCUGUAAACCUCUGCUUUGGGAGACCAGAAUUUAAAUCUACAUUGGUGUUGGAAGUCAGCAAGGCAUCCGUCUGGCAUUUGCAGUGCCAGCGAGCAAGAAGUGAAGCAACAGAAUGGUUGGCAGGGACUCGGCAACUGCCUCGAACACGCACUUAGGGAUUCACAUUAAUCCCAAGAGGCCUCAGAAACUAUCCGAUGAGACAGGGAACCAGCAUGGAGUGUCUGAAGGCAGAACUGAGUCCAGCAGGCAGGGCUGGUCAUCCAAACUGUCGCUCACUAGCUACGUAAGAAGGACACAUCUACCACAGUUGCAACCGAAAUCACAGAUGGGGACAGUGGAUGCAGAGGAAGACCGAUGGCACGUGCUACACGUAAAAUGCCAGGAAGUUACCAUGUGAAAACAAGACUUCCCAGACUUUCCCAAGAAAUACGGGGAAGUUACUCUUAUCCCGAUUUUCACCAAAUCGUUUUGAGAACAUUUUACUUAGCUAUAAAAAUAGAUCAAAAGUAGGGAAAAUAGCCAGGUGUGGUGGCGCAUGCCUGUAGUCCCAGCUACUGGGGAGGCUGAGGCAGGAGGAUCGCCUGAGCCCGAGAGCUCUGGGCUGUAGAGUGAGAUGCACUAAGCUUGGCAUCAAUAUGGUGACCCCCCCCCAGGAGUGACAGACCACCGGGGAGCCUACGGAGGGGUGAAUCAGCCCAUGUUAAAAACUCUGUGCUGAUCAGAAGUGGGACUGUGCCUGUGAACGGCCACUGCACCACAGCCUGGACAACACAGUGAGACCCAUCUCUAAAAAUAAAAAAGUAGAGAAAAUAAAAUCUUUGCAUAUUUCUUAUUGUGGGCUUAAUAGAUAAAUAGUCAGAUUUCAUCUCUAUAGAGAUUAACUGCAACAUUAUUUACAACAGCAAAAAACUGAAAACAAUCCAACUGUCCAAUGACGGUAGAAGGGUUAAAUAAGUUAUAAAUCUAUAAAAUAUGAUUAUGCAUCCAUUAUAAUUGUUCUCAAGAAAAUAUUAAUGAUAGGAGGAAAGAUUCAUGACAAUGAUAUUUUGACAGAAUUUAGACCCCAAACUAUAAUAUAUAUAGUGU